GAUGAACGCUGGCGGCGUGCCUAAUACAUGCAAGUCGAGCGAACGGACGAGAAGCUUGCUUCUCUGAUGUUAGCGGCGGACGGGUGAGUAACACGUGGAUAACCUACCUAUAAGACUGGGAUAACUUCGGGAAACCGGAGCUAAUACCGGAUAAUAUUUUGAACCGCAUGGUUCAAAAGUGAAAGACGGUCUUGCUGUCACUUAUAGAUGGAUCCGCGCUGCAUUAGCUAGUUGGUAAGGUAACGGCUCACCAAGGCAACGAUGCAUAGCCGACCUGAGAGGGUGAUCGGCCACACUGGAACUGAGACACGGUCCAGACUCCUACGGGAGGCAGCAGUAGGGAAUCUUCCGCAAUGGGCGAAAGCCUGACGGAGCAACGCCGCGUGAGUGAUGAAGGUCUUCGGAUCGUAAAACUCUGUUAUUAGGGAAGAACAUAUGUGUAAGUAACUGUGCACAUCUUGACGGUACCUAAUCAGAAAGCCACGGCUAACUACGUGCCAGCAGCCGCGGUAAUACGUAGGUGGCAAGCGUUAUCCGGAAUUAUUGGGCGUAAAGCGCGCGUAGGCGGUUUUUUAAGUCUGAUGUGAAAGCCCACGGCUCAACCGUGGAGGGUCAUUGGAAACUGGAAAACUUGAGUGCAGAAGAGGAAAGUGGAAUUCCAUGUGUAGCGGUGAAAUGCGCAGAGAUAUGGAGGAACACCAGUGGCGAAGGCGACUUUCUGGUCUGUAACUGACGCUGAUGUGCGAAAGCGUGGGGAUCAAACAGG
RNAcentral lists this ribosomal RNA (766 nucleotides) under Staphylococcus aureus. Its description in RNAcentral is "bacterial SSU rRNA". It matches the Rfam family "Bacterial small subunit ribosomal RNA", at positions 28 to 776 of the family's 1533-position model. Lineage: Bacteria; Bacillati; Bacillota; Bacilli; Caryophanales; Staphylococcaceae. The record is from RNAcentral.